RNAcentral lists this long non-coding RNA (11241 nucleotides) under Malus domestica (apple). RNAcentral describes it as "long non-coding RNA (MDOM_LNC004004)". Lineage: Eukaryota; Viridiplantae; Streptophyta; Magnoliopsida; Rosales; Rosaceae. The record is from RNAcentral.
GAUAAACCAAUAUUUAAACUAUAUAUUUCAUCCUUUUAUAUUUAUUAUCUUGUCUAAUUUAGUUAAAGCUUUAAGUAUUUAUGAUACUUUUAAUUUAUUGUGUUUGUAGGAGAAGAAAGUGGAGAAACAGCAAGGAAAUGUGAGGUCAGAAAGGAUGACAGGAAGUGGAAUAGGGUAGGUGAAGUGGAAGGCGCGGAGGAAUAAAAUAAGAGGAGCACUGCCUUAGGCAGUGACAGAAAGAAAAGAAAGAAAUAAAAAGAAGAGGGACAGCAGAAAACCAGGAGAGAGAGGCGUGCAGUCAGAAAAGAGGGAGGAGAUAGUCACGGGGGGGAGAAUGCUGCCAUUUGGCAGCGAGGUCAGAGAGAAGUCAGGGGGCUUUGCAGCAAAGGAAUCUUGCGGCGGUGCAAAGACAAGAAAACGAGGCUGCUCUUGCAGCAAAGCAGAGAGCACCGAAGCAGAACUGGGAGACGUGCAUGUGCCUUGCGGUGGAGGGAAAAAUAAAAGAAGAAACCAAGGCUGCCUUGCAAGUCCGUGGCAGCGAGGUGAUGCAACGUGGGCAGAAACAAAGGCAGAAAAGGAAAGCUUCUCCUCUCUCGGUUAUUCUCUCCAAAUCUAUAUUUUACUUUUGGUUUAUUUGUGUCUUAAUAAUGUGUAAAUAAACUUAUUUUGGCUAGAGGUUAAUUCAAAGCCAUGAAUAUAUUUGUAAUAUGAAUUGAUUAUCUUCAGUUGUGAUUUCUGAGUUGUGAUUUAAUUUGCUUAACUGCUUGAUAGAUAACUUAUUUUUGUAUGUCGAUUAAGGAUGCAUACUUAAUUUACAUGCAUGAAUUUGAUGCUAGAAUAUAAGUGAAUUUCACCUAAUCGUUAUGAACUUAUAUUCACAAGUAGUAAAGGUUGCUAGUCACAAUCACGUUAAGUAAAUUCUUGGCAUAAGUUUCAUGCAAAUCAUAGUAACGAGUGCCUCGUCAAUGCUUAUGUUUUUCAUAGAACUUACUGAUUCUUGCUUGUAUCUCUAUUAUGCAAUUCAUGUAGGGAACUUGUAGGGAAUGUUUUGGGUUGUCGUAUGCAAUCAUCCAACCCAAUAACUUGUGGAAAAACUUGAAGGUUAAUUUAAGCGGACCUAAUUAAUCUGGGGUAUUGAGAUUUACAAUUUAUUGAAAGAACAACUGAAAAUCAAUUUAGGUUGCAUAUAUGUCAUGUGUGGAGAAGAACCCUCUAGCCAGUCCGUCAUUUAUCAUUUUACCUUAAUUUUAUGUUUUUGUCAAUUCUGUAAUUUAGUUAAGUUUAAUUUACUUUUCAUCAAAACCAAACACCCAUCCAUUAUUAAAUUAUAUUAUUUAGUUAGUUUUAUUUAUUGUUAGUCUUUUAAUUUAAUUUCCGUCCAUUUCAGUUCCUAGUGUUUAAUUUAAUUGUUUUCAUUAUUUUGAGUCAUUCUAAGUGUGUUUCGGGUUAUUAGAGUUUUUAGCCUAGUUUUGUGUCCUUGAGUCUUCUUAUUUAAUAUAUUUAAAUUAAUUGAGAAUAGAUUAGCAAUCCCCUCCUAAUCCCCGGCCUAGAACGAUACCCUACUUACAUCCAUACUACAAUUGUCAAAAAGAGGGUUUAAUUUGUGUGUCAAGUAAUUCUCGCACCAAAUUUUGGCGCCGUUGCCGGGGAUUAGCAACUUUGCUAAUCCUUUUAUUUUUGUUUUUGCUUAUGUUUAUUUGUGUUUGUGUAUGUUACUUUUGAUAUUUGAUUUAUUUUUCUUUCUUUGAAUUGAGGUACAAAUGGAGCAAGACCUGGAUUCUACUAGCAUUCAAGAUCUAUUGGCACAGCUCACUGCUCAAUUAACUCAUAAUGCCGAACGGACCACAAUGCCAAGUGUCCCUACAUUUGAUGUGCCCCUAUGGGCAAGGAUAUCAAGGUCCUCAAUUUUCUGCAAAUGAAGAUGUUUGGGGAUAUCAAGGCCAUAACCAAUCAAGGGGCAACAUGUUUUCCAAUGCUUACAAUUCAGAUUGGAGAGGUAAUUCAGAUUAUAUGUGGGAUGAACCUCAACAAUUUCAACAAGGUGGAUAUUGGCAGCAAGACGAGUUCUAUUCAAGACCUAUGCAGCCACCACAGCAUCCCCCACAACAAUUCCAAUCAAAUCAAAAUAUGCCCAUGAAUUAUAAUGAAAUUCUGGAAGGACUAAUUUCUGUGGCGCAGGGUUUACGAAAAGAAGAACAAUUGCCGCCAUCGGAAGAGUUCUAUCAGUGGCCAUAUGAACCAUCACAGCCACCACAACAAUCAACCCAAUUCAAUUCAGGUACAUCCUUGGAUAAUGAUACACUGAAUAAUUUACUCGCCUCUUUGAAUCAGGGAGUAGAAAAUCAAAACCAGGAGAUGCAAGACCGAGUCAAAAAGAGUAGACGAAUUGGAUAUGCAUGUUGGGCAAAUUAUGGAAUUCAUGGCACAGAUUCAAGAGCAAAGUGAAGUCUCCAACUCAACUCUUGAAAAAUUCAAAGGCAGAAGUUGAAAUCGAUGAAGCCAUCACCUUGGAAGGUGACAGGGAGGAUGAAGCUGUCCCAGAACCAUCCACACACAGCCCGAACUUGGAUGAAUUGCUGCUGCAAGCAGAAGGGGAGGAGGACGACCUGGGCAGUUUAGAAGAAUUCUUGCUGCAAGCUCCUCAAAUCCCUCUGUCAUCCAACUCAGGUGAGGAAGUUCCCAUUUCAUUUCAUUCUAAUGAUAUUCCUAUUCUUGGUGCAACAAAGCAGGUCCUAGAUCGUGUUGAAUAUUUCAAAGGCCUUUGUUUCCCAAGAAAUAUGAUUCAAGAGAAUGAAGUGGUGGAAGCAUGUCAAGAAUACAUCCAAGGGGCUGUGCAUGAGACAAUCAAGCCCAAAGCCGUUGAGUUUGAUGACCCGGGACAAGCCACAACCAUCAUAGUAAAUCUGGCCAAGUUCAAAGUCCCGGAAAUGUUCAAAAAAUGUGGUGUUUGUCAUUGAGUUUUGUGCCAGAAAAAGAAAGUAAGCCAUCUUCUCCAAUUUUAAUUUUUAUUUAUACUAACAUUUUUCUGAGUUUGAUGAUUCAGGCACCCACUCGUGAAUUCAAACCAUUGCCGAAUCAUUUCAAGUAUCACCUCCCAUUAAAAGAUAAAUUCCAUGCUUUGGAGCCGAUGGGAGUUUAAAGGAAAGAUUCGUCCGGCUAAAGACGUUAAAUCAAGCGCUUCUUGGGAGGCAACCCAAGCAUUCAACGAAGGGAGACUUUGAAAUUGCUCAACAAAUCUUUUUCCGAUCAGAUUUGCAUUCCUAAACCCUUCUCUUCAGUUGUGAUUUCUGAGUUGUGAUUUAAUUUGCUUAACUGCUUGAUAGAUAACUUAUUUUUGUAUGUCGAUUAAGGAUGCAUACUUAAUUUACAUGCAUGAAUUUGAUGCUAGAAUAUAAGUGAAUUUCACCUAAUCGUUAUGAACUUAUAUUCACAAGUAGUAAAGGUUGCUAGUCACAAUCACGUUAAGUAAAUUCUUGGCAUAAGUUUCAUGCAAAUCAUAGUAACGAGUGCCUCGUCAAUGCUUAUGUUUUUCAUAGAACUUACUGAUUCUUGCUUGUAUCUCUAUUAUGCAAUUCAUGUAGGGAACUUGUAGGGAAUGUUUUGGGUUGUCGUAUGCAAUCAUCCAACCCAAUAACUUGUGGAAAAACUUGAAGGUUAAUUUAAGCGGACCUAAUUAAUCUGGGGUAUUGAGAUUUACAAUUUAUUGAAAGAACAACUGAAAAUCAAUUUAGGUUGCAUAUAUGUCAUGUGUGGAGAAGAACCCUCUAGCCAGUCCGUCAUUUAUCAUUUUACCUUAAUUUUAUGUUUUUGUCAAUUCUGUAAUUUAGUUAAGUUUAAUUUACUUUUCAUCAAAACCAAACACCCAUCCAUUAUUAAAUUAUAUUAUUUAGUUAGUUUUAUUUAUUGUUAGUCUUUUAAUUUAAUUUCCGUCCAUUUCAGUUCCUAGUGUUUAAUUUAAUUGUUUUCAUUAUUUUGAGUCAUUCUAAGUGUGUUUCGGGUUAUUAGAGUUUUUAGCCUAGUUUUGUGUCCUUGAGUCUUAUUUAAUAUAUUUAAAUUAAUUGAGAAUAGAUUAGCAAUCCCUCCUAAUCCCCGGCCUAGAACGAUACCCUACUUACAUCCAUACUACAAUUGUCAAAAAGAGGGUUUAAUUUGUGUGUCAGGUAAUUCUCGCACCAAAUUUUGGCGCCGUUGCCGGGGAUUAGCAACUUUGCUAAUCCUUUUAUUUUUGUUUUUGCUUAUGUUUAUUUGUGUUUGUGUAUGUUACUUUUGAUAUUUGAUUUAUUUUUCUUUCUUUGAAUUGAGGUACAAAUGGAGCAAGACCUGGAUUCUACUAGCAUUCAAGAUCUAUUGGCACAGCUCACUGCUCAAUUAACUCAUAAUGCCGAACGGACCACAAUGCCAAGUGUCCCUACAUUUGAUGUGCCCUAUGGGCAAGGAUAUCAAGGUCCUCAAUUUUCUGCAAAUGAAGAUGUUUGGGGAUAUCAAGGCCAUAACCAAUCAAGGGGCAACAUGUUUUCCAAUGCUUACAAUUCAGAUUGGAGAGGUAAUUCAGAUUAUAUGUGGGAUGAACCUCAACAAUUUCAACAAGGUGGAUAUUGGCAGCAAGACGAGUUCUAUUCAAGACCUAUGCAGCCACCACAGCAUCCCCCACAACAAUUCCAAUCAAAUCAAAAUAUGCCCAUGAAUUAUAAUGAAAUUCUGGAAGGACUAAUUUCUGUGGCGCAGGGUUUACGAAAAGAAGAACAAUUGCCGCCAUCGGAAGAGUUCUAUCAGUGGCCAUAUGAACCAUCACAGCCACCACAACAAUCAACCCAAUUCAAUUCAGGUACAUCCUUGGAUAAUGAUACACUGAAUAAUUUACUCGCCUCUUUGAAUCAGGGAGUAGAAAAUCAAAACCAGGAGAUGCAAGACCGAGUCAAAAGAGUAGACGAAUUGGAUAUGCAUGUUGGGCAAAUUAUGGAAUUCAUGGCACAGAUUCAAGAGCAAAGUGAAGUCUCCAACUCAACUCUUGAAAAUUCAAAGGCAGAAGUUGAAAUCGAUGAAGCCAUCACCUUGGAAGGUGACAGGGAGGAUGAAGCUGUCCCAGAACCAUCCACACACAGCCCGAACUUGGAUGAAUUGCUGCUGCAAGCAGAAGGGGAGGAGGACGACCUGGGCAGUUUAGAAGAAUUCUUGCUGCAAGCUCCUCAAAUCCCUCUGUCAUCCAACUCAGGUGAGGAAGUUCCCAUUUCAUUUCAUUCUAAUGAUAUUCCUAUUCUUGGUGCAACAAAGCAGGUCCUAGAUCGUGUUGAAUAUUUCAAAGGCCUUUGUUUCCCAAGAAAUAUGAUUCAAGAGAAUGAAGUGGUGGAAGCAUGUCAAGAAUACAUCCAAGGGGCUGUGCAUGAGACAAUCAAGCCCAAAGCCGUUGAGUUUGAUGACCCGGGACAAGCCACAACCAUCAUAGUAAAUCUGGCCAAGUUCAAAGUCCCGGAAAUGUUCAAAAAUGUGGUGUUUGUCAUUGAGUUUGUGCCAGAAAAAGAAAGUAAGCCAUCUUCUCCAAUUUUAAUUUUUAUUUAUACUAACAUUUUUCUGAGUUUGAUGAUUCAGGCACCCACUCGUGAAUUCAAACCAUUGCCGAAUCAUUUCAAGUAUCACCUCCCAUUAAAAGAUAAAUUCCAUGCUUUGGAGCCGAUGGGAGUUUAAAGGAAAGAUUCGUCCGGCUAAAGACGUUAAAUCAAGCGCUUCUUGGGAGGCAACCCAAGCAUUCAACGAAGGGAGACUUUGAAAUUGCUCAACAAAUCUUUUUCCGAUCAGAUUUGCAUUCCUAAACCCUUCUCUUUACUGCAUUUAUUUUACCUUGUUUAAGUUCAUUAACUGUUAGUUUACUUGCGUGUGAAUCUUGUUUAGGGUAGAUAAAGUCUCUUUACAUUAAUUUACAUAUAUAAAAAUAAAAUAAAAAUAAAAAUAAAAAGAUAAAAUUUAAAAUUAAUGAAAAAAAAAAUAAAAAAAAUAAAAAAAAAAAAUAAAAAAAAAAAAAAAAAAUUAAAAAAAAAAAAAAAACAUAAAAGUACAAAUAUUUCACAAUGACUUAAACUAAUAGCAUUCAUUGGUCAGGUGGUGCUUCAGUAGUCGGCGGAGCUUCGGCAGUCGGCGGGGCCACAGAAGGAGGAGGCAGCAGAGGUUGAUCAGUUGGAGCUUCACUACGCGGUGCCGCUCCUGAAGACGAAGGCAGAUGCGGUUGGAACAAACCCACAAACCUCCGAUGAUCAAGUAAAAUUUGACCAUCGGUGUCCUGCAUCUGGUCAAUCUUCCUCUUCAUGCUGGUGGCAUAGUUGUGUGCAAGCUUAUGUAAUUGUUUAUUUUCAUGCUUGAGUCCUUUAAUCUCCUAUUUGAGACUCUGUAUUUCAGCCACCAAGGAUUCAACGUGACGGGUUCGGGCAUAUAGGCGUUGGGCCAUGUUGGAUACGGAACCCGCACACUGCACACUGAGAGCCAGAGACUCCUUAACCGCCAAUUCAUCGGACCGUCUAGCGAGCAGUCUGUUAUCUCUGGGAGUGACAAGGUUUCGGGCCACCACCGCAGCGGUCAUGUCAUUUUUUAUCACCGAAUCCCCCACGGUAAGAGGACCGGUAGGGGAUAUGAAGGUUGGCCGCCAUAUGUUGUCUGGUGAAGGCGGAGCUGCCUCUUCACCACGGUUCAAGUCAAAACGGCGAUCGGAAGGGCCAGACAUUUUCUGAAAGUGUUGAGAAAGAAGAGAUCAGACAGAUUAAGAUUUCGGAAGUGCAAGAAGGGAGUGUUUACAAGAGGGAGCUCAAGUGUGUUGUGGAACAAAAUUAACGCCUCUAUAAAAAGAAGAAUUCAAAGAGGCGCUCCUCAGAAAUUGAAGAGGCGUCCUCUCGCAAAUCGAAGAGUCGGGCACCUUUCUCAAAAGCCGGAUUCUUUUCUCAAAAGAGGAGUUUCCGUUCUCAAAAAACUGGAUUCUUUUCUCAAAAGAGGCGUUCAUUUCUUAAAAGUUGGGCUUGCUCAGAAACCACGAGCCGAACCCCGGAUUUCGCAAGAUCAAUUCGUCCAGACGUGUUGUCACCCGUCACACGCAAACUCAGCUCUGCGAAAAUCACGGGCAGUCUGUCGAAGUGCCGAUUCCAACCAUCUGUCUCUCUCAGCCUAGUCAGCAUUUGUCACAUGCAACUGGCAGCUUUGCGGAAAUUACGGGCAGCUUUGUCAGAAAGCGCGUAAUUUGUAUUCUUCACCCAUCCACCGGCUGCCGACACUAAGUGAGAGAACAGUUCCGGUUGUGAAGACAAGUCCUAUAAGUUUCUACCUUCGCCUUCCACAGCAAAAGCACACUCUCUCAGCACACCCUCUCAACACCUCUUCAUCUCCGAAAAAUGCAUUCCCAAAGAAUCCUCUCGAGUCACUCUGUGUUCCUCAUUCCUUGGGAUACUCCUGCGAACAACCCAUUCAAAGCAAAAGUAUUUCAUAUCAUAAAGGUUGAAAGCAAGAGUAUCUCAUAUCAUGCUUUCUCCAUGUCCUUCUCCUUGUCUUUGUUUUCCGACAAGGAGAAAGAGAGCAAUCAGCCAGCAUUUGGUAUCAAUCUUCCGAUCUGGAGUCAACUGCCUGGAACCCCUUCCUGAUUGCUUACCUAGCCUUGCUCUCGAGUACUCAUCUUCAUCAUUUUAUGCUUUCUCUUCGUCUACCACAUCUGCCUGGGGGACAGUAAGGGAAGUGAAAAUGAUACCUCGAAGCAUGUGGAGACAAUUCAGCUAGGGACAAGGAGAAAAGAAAGCAAGAGGUGGGCACUUGGAAAGAUUGAAGAAAGAAAUAAGGACCAACACCUUUCCCUCGUGCCUGCCCGUUGUGCAGAAGAAACAAGCAGAGAAGAAUGCAGCUUGCACAAUCAUCCCAGCGGAAGGAGUCCGAACUGAGGAACUAGAGAAGCUGCCACAUCUGCUUGGAGAACAAAUAAGGAACUGCAACAUAACCAAAGAGCAAAGCUUCGCCGUACAAUAUCAUAAAAUCAUCACUUGCAAGUGAAAAGCUAAGUGUCACCCUGUUCAAGAGGAAAGCUGUGGAAAGUCAACAAGCACGAACAAUGAUCACCUAUUAGUUCUAUUCAUUAUCUUUUAUUUUCAUUUUCAAUUUUUCGUUUGCAUUUUUCUACAUUUUCUUGUGUCCUUAACUGAAUUAUUUCUUUUCUUUGCAGGAACUUUUGGUUAUUUCCACCCUUGAAGUUGAUUGCAGAAUUUUAGCUUGGGGGGUCAUCGCUUGAUUUUACUGCAAAUUAGGGAAGUUUUCAGUCCAAUUGCUUUAUUUUGUUUUUUUUAUUAUUUUGUUUAUUUUAUUUAUUUUUGCAUUAUAGUGUUUUCUGACAUUGGGGACAAUGUCCAGUUUAAGUAUGGGGGUACAGGGUAAAAAUGACCAAAUUGAAAUUUUUUGUACCUUCAACUUCGAACUGGUUUCAUUUGUUUCUGUGUUGUUGCUUUUUAUUUUUUAGUUUUGUUUUCUCUAUAUAAAAAAAAAAAAAAAAAAAUCGGAAAAAUUUAAAAAUCCAAAAAUAUUGUCUUGUUUUCCUUAUUGUUAUGAAUUAGAUUUUUGUUAGUUUCCCGACCCAAUGAUAUAAUUGGAUAAAAUUUGAACCAUGAUCAUCAAGAACUUAGUUAACAUGUGUUUUGUGAAAUUCCUAAUUCUUUUGUUAGUUUUGUACAUGUUUGAUCAUCUUUGAAAAACCAAAUGCACAUAGCCUUGUUGAUGUGAAACUAAAGCAUGACUUAAAGCUUCAUAUGUGAAUUUAGUGACCAUAUACAUCCUAUGUGAGUUUUUGAGCCUAUUGAAAGUGUGUGCAUUUUUCAUACACUCCUAUUCUUUCAUGUGUGAUGAACUUAUGUGAGAUACAUCUCUAGAACUUGCGUAACGAUCUUUCGAAAUGUUUGUCAUUGAUUGCAUGAACUUGGAAAUGAUAGAAGCAUUAGGUUUACCACCAUGGCCCAAAUAACCAUGUUUCCCAAAUAAAAAUGAUAUCAUUAGAUUGCCAAUUUGAGCCGUGUGUGUUGAGCCUUUUAUUUCUUAUCACCAGAUAUGUCUACCCUUAUACCUGAAACAUUUUUCCUUACCCUUUCCAAGCAAGCUAGUGAGCAAUGUGAGAUUGUCUUAUGAGAAAUGUUUGUAAAGUACUUUGAAGGUGUUUGGCAAAAAAAUAAGUGUGGGGGUAUUUCAUGUUUGUAUAAAAAAUAAAAAAAAAUAAAAUAAAAAAAAAGAGAAAAAAAAAAAAGAAAAAGAAAAAGAAAGAUUGUAUACGAAGAAAAAAAAAGAAAAAAAAAUGUUUUUAAAGUUUCAGUUUAAGGGUGUGAUUGGAGGUUUCAGAAGAAUCGUUGGAGAGCUUAAGUUCUUAUAAAUCUAAAGAAAAGAAUUGCUUGCAAUGUAGCUUGGAACUUGUGUUUUCCUAUUCUUUCGUUUCAAUAACCCUAUCCCUAAGCCUCAUUACAUCCAAUAAAAGUCCUCUUGAUUUAAGUUUUGCAAUUAUGACUGUGGAGAAGUGAUCUUUAUGCAAGCUUAUGGUAGAAAUUUCACAUUUGAUUCUUUGAGCGAAACACAUUAAAACUAAACACAUGUGUGAUUGAGUGUAUAUCCCGUGAGAAGGUUGCUAGUUUGCAUAUGAUGAUUUUAAAAAUAAGAACUUGAAAUUGCAUUAGCAUGGCUAUCUCACACACUACACUUCAAGGAUGAUUCAAAGAUUACUGCUAAUAUUUGAAUAAGGAAGAUGAACUUGGAUUAGUUUGUUGGUGCUAGCUAUGGUUCUUGAUGAUUUGUUUUCUCGAAUGAAAUUCUAUGAAGGUCACAUAGGGGGAAACUAAUGUUUUUCAUGAUUAGUUCUUUCUCAUGUUUUCUUUGUUUUGCUCGAGGACUAGCAAAAGCUAAGUAUGGGGGUAUUUGAUCGGAUAAUAUUUAUAUAUAUUUUUACUUCAAAUUCACUCGUCUUUUCUUAGUUAGUUCCUUAUAUUUUUGAGCUAUUUACGUUAUUUUUGUGUUUAUAGGAUUUGUUAUGCAAAGAAAAUAAAAAUAGAACAAGUGAAAUUUUAUGUAAUAAAUUUGUCAAAAGCAAAUUUAAAUUACAAUUUUGCUAAUCCAUUGUGACGCUAAAUGAUAAACCAAUAUUUAAACUAUAUAUUUCAUCCUUUUAUAUUUAUUAUCUUGUCUAAUUUAGUUAAAGCUUUAAGUAUUUAUGAUACUUUUAAUUUAUUGUGUUUGUAGGAGAAGAAAGUGGAGAAACAGCAAGGAAAUGUGAGGUCAGAAAGGAUGACAGGAAGUGGAAUAGGGUAGGUGAAGUGGAAGGCGCGGAGGAAUAAAAUAAGAGGAGCACUGCCUUAGGCAGUGACAGAAAGAAAAGAAAGAAAUAAAAAGAAGAGGGACAGCAGAAAACCAGGAGAGAGAGGCGUGCAGUCAGAAAAGAGGGAGGAGAUAGUCACGGGGGGGAGAAUGCUGCCAUUUGGCAGCGAGGUCAGAGAGAAGUCAGGGGGCUUUGCAGCAAAGGAAUCUUGCGGCGGUGCAAAGACAAGAAAACGAGGCUGCUCUUGCAGCAAAGCAGAGAGCACCGAAGCAGAACUGGGAGACGUGCAUGUGCCUUGCGGUGGAGGGAAAAAUAAAAGAAGAAACCAAGGCUGCCUUGCAAGUCCGUGGCAGCGAGGUGAUGCAACGUGGGCAGAAACAAAGGCAGAAAAGGAAAGCUUCUCCUCUCUCGGUUAAUUCUCUCCAAAUCUAUAUUUUACUUUUGGUUUAUUUGUGUCUUAAUAAUGUGUAAAUAAACUUAUUUUGGCUAGAGGUUAAUUCAAAGCCAUGAAUAUAUUUGUAAUAUGAAUUGAUUAUCUUCAGUUGUGAUUUCUGAGUUGUGAUUUAAUUUGCUUAACUGCUUGAUAGAUAACUUAUUUUUGUAUGUCGAUUAAGGAUGCAUACUUAAUUUACAUGCAUGAAUUUGAUGCUAGAAUAUAAGUGAAUUUCACCUAAUCGUUAUGAACUUAUAUUCACAAGUAGUAAAGGUUGCUAGUCACAAUCACGUUAAGUAAAUUCUUGGCAUAAGUUUCAUGCAAAUCAUAGUAACGAGUGCCUCGUCAAUGCUUAUGUUUUUCAUAGAACUUACUGAUUCUUGCUUGUAUCUCUAUUAUGCAAUUCAUGUAGGGAACUUGUAGGGAAUGUUUUGGGUUGUCGUAUGCAAUCAUCCAACCCAAUAACUUGUGGAAAAACUUGAAGGUUAAUUUAAGCGGACCUAAU